This 253-nucleotide ribosomal RNA is filed under the name uncultured prokaryote. RNAcentral's name for it is "partial 16S ribosomal RNA". It matches the Rfam family "Bacterial small subunit ribosomal RNA", at positions 524 to 776 of the family's 1533-position model. The record is from RNAcentral.
GACGAGGGAUCCUAGCGUUGCUCGGAAUCAUUGGGCGUAAAGCGGGUGUAGGUAGCUUGGUAAGUCAGAUGUGAAAGCCCAGGGCUUAACCCUGGAAGUGCAUUUGAAACUGCUAAGCUUGAGUGCUAGAGAGGUUAAUAGAAUACCUGGUGUAGUGGUGAAAUACGUAGAUAUCAGGUGGAACACCGGAGGCGAAGGCGGUUAACUGGCUAGACACUGACACUGAGACCCGAAAGUGCGGGGAUCAAACAGG